AGCUCCAAUAGCGUAUAUUAAAGUUGUUGCAGUUAAAAAGCUCGUAGUUGGAUCUCGGGUCCAGGCUUGUGGUCCACCGCAUGGUGGUUACUGCUUGUCCUGACCUACCUCCUGGUUUGCCCUUGGUGCUCUUGAUUGAGUGUCUCGGGUGGCCAGAACGUUUACUUUGAAAAAAUUAGAGUGUUCAAAGCAGGCAAUUCGCCUGAAUAAUGGUGCAUGGAAUAAUGGAAUAGGACCUCGGUUCUAUUUUACUGGUUUUCGGAGCUUGAGGUAAUGAUUAAGAGGGACUGACGGGGGCAUUCGUAUUACGGUGUUAGAGGUGAAAUUCUUGGAUCGCCGUAAGACGAACUACUGCGAAAGCAUUUGCCAAGAAUGUUUUCA
This 381-nucleotide ribosomal RNA is filed under the name marine Metazoa environmental sample. Its description in RNAcentral is "SSU rRNA". It matches the Rfam family "Eukaryotic small subunit ribosomal RNA", at positions 587 to 972 of the family's 1831-position model. The record is from RNAcentral. Lineage: Eukaryota; Metazoa.